Molecule: transfer RNA, 71 nt
Filed under: Staphylococcus aureus M0263
Lineage: Bacteria; Bacillati; Bacillota; Bacilli; Caryophanales; Staphylococcaceae
Description: tRNA-Thr
Rfam family: tRNA
About the family: Transfer RNA (tRNA) molecules are approximately 80 nucleotides in length.
Source: RNAcentral
CCUAGCUCAAUUGGUAGAGCAACUGACUUGUAAUCAGUAGGUUGGGGGUUCAAGUCCUCUGGCCGGCACCA